UGGCUAUCUUCUGGAUCUCUGAUGGGGCGGUCCUCACCGGUUUCAGUCUUUGCUGACCUGGGAGUCGGUGGAGGGUGCCAGCAGCUGGACCCAACCUGACAUUAUCCUCUCUCCUGCCAGUAGGCUGGCCGGGCCCCACACCCAGUGUGAGUGAGCUGGAGCGACGGCGUUUGGAAGAGGCUCUGGAGGCUGCCCAGGGUGAGGCCCGGGGGGCUCAGCUUCGGGAAGAGCAGCUCCAGGCCGAGUGCGAGCGGCUGCAGGGAGAGCUGAAGCAGCUGCAGGAGAGCCGGGCCCAGGAUCUCGCCUCCAACCAGUCAGAGCGGGACAUGGCGUGGGUGAAAAGAGUCGGGGAUGAUCAGGUGAAUUUGGCGCUGGCUUACCACGGAGCUGACAGCGAGCUGGGGCCGCUUCGGGAGUUGAGUUCCCUGCAGGGGAGGAUCUUGAGGACUCUUCUUGCAGGAGCAGGCCCGGAGUGGCGGGUGAGAGGGGGCCUGGAAGGGGCGCCCGGAGCUGGGUCCCAAGGGGGGGAGGGGGGGGUAACUGUGGCUACCAUCUCGCGUCCUGGGGCCACCCCUGCCUUCCUUUCCCUGCCGGGUCGUUUUCACCCGCUCGCCGUUCCGAGGAGAGAGGGUAGAGUGGGCGUCGGGCGCACGGCACGCCCAUGGCUCCCCAGUGCUGACUCCUUCUCUCCCACCACUGCCCCUUCCCCCUCGGCUUGCUUCUCUUCCAUGCCAGAGGCCUCGCCUCUGUCGCAGUGCCCCUCCCCGUCCCCGCCCGCCCGAGCGGC
RNAcentral lists this long non-coding RNA (787 nucleotides) under Lynx canadensis (Canada lynx). RNAcentral describes it as "lncRNA (ENSLCNG00005022728.1)". The record is from RNAcentral. Lineage: Eukaryota; Metazoa; Chordata; Mammalia; Carnivora; Felidae.